CGCUGAACUUAAGCAUAUUCAAUAAGCGGAGGAAAAGAAACCCAACAGGGAUUGCCCCUAGUAACGGCGAGUGAAGCGGCAACAGCUCAAAUUUGAAAUCUGGCCUCGGCCCGAGUUGUAAUUUGCAGAGGAUGCUUCUGGCGCGGUGCCUUCCGAGUUUCCUGGAACGGGACGCCACAGAGGGUGAGAGCCCCGUAUGGUCGGACACCAAGCCUGUGUGAAGCUCCUUCGACGAGUCGAGUAGUUUGGGAAUGCUGCUCUAAAUGGGGAGGUAAAUCUCUUCUAAAGCUAAAUACCGGCCAGAGACCGAUAGCGCACAAGUAGAGUGAUCGAAAGAUGAAAAGCACCUUGAAAAGGGGGUUAAACAGUACGUGAAAUUGUUGAAAGGGAAGCGCUUGUGACCAGACUUGUGCCGGGCGGCUCAUCAGGGGUUCUCCCCUGUGUAUUCCGCCCGGCUCAGGCCAGCAUCGGUUCUCGCUGGGGGAUAAGAACGGUAGGAACGUGGCCCCCCCCCGGGGGGGUGUUAUAGCCUACCGUACGAUACCCUAGCGGGGACCGAGGUUCGCGCUCCGCAAGGAUGCUGGCGUAAUGGUCAUCAGCGACCCGUCUUGAAACACGGACCAAGGAGUCGUCCAUUAGAGCGAGCGUUUGGGUGUAAAACCCGCACGCGUAAUGAAAGUGAAAUUAGGUGAGAGCUUCGGCGCAUCAUCGACCGAUCCUGAUGUUCUCGGAUGGAUUUGAGUAAGAGUUUUAACGGACGGACCCGAAAGACAGUGAACUAUGCUUGUAUAGGGUGAAGCCAGAGGAAACUCUGGUGGAGGCUCGCAGCGGUUCUGACGUGCAAAUCGAUCGUCAAAUAUGAGCAUGGGGCCGAAAGAACUAAUUCGAACUUUCCACCUG
Molecule: ribosomal RNA, 900 nt
Filed under: Microascospora rubi
Lineage: Eukaryota; Fungi; Ascomycota; Sordariomycetes; Diaporthales; Melanconiellaceae
Description: eukaryotic LSU rRNA
Rfam family: Eukaryotic large subunit ribosomal RNA
Source: RNAcentral